Molecule: ribosomal RNA, 274 nt
Filed under: uncultured bacterium
Lineage: Bacteria
Description: partial 16S ribosomal RNA
Rfam family: Bacterial small subunit ribosomal RNA
Source: RNAcentral
AUACGGAGGGGGCUAGCGUUGUUCGGAAUUACUGGGCGUAAAGCGUACGCAGGCGGAUAUUUAAGUUAGAGGUGAAAUCCCAGGGCUCAACCCUGGAACUGCCUUUAAAACUGGGUAUCUAGAGUUAUGGAGAGGUAAGUGGAAUUCCUAGUGUAGAAGUGAAAUUCGUAGAUAUUAGGAGGAACACCAGAGGCGAAGGCGGCUUACUGGACAUAUACUGACGCUGAGGUACGAAAGUGUGGGGAGCGAACGGGAUUAGAAACCCUAGUAGUCC